Molecule: long non-coding RNA, 1655 nt
Filed under: Sus scrofa (pig)
Lineage: Eukaryota; Metazoa; Chordata; Mammalia; Artiodactyla; Suidae
Description: lncRNA (ENSSSCG00030033809.1)
Source: RNAcentral
CUUCACAAUGACAGGGGUGGGAAGGGGGGGGGGGCUUCGAAUGGGGGGCCGGGUUGAAUCAGUGGUUGAGGCCGUAGGAAAUCUGACUGCUUAGCAAGUCGUUAAGUCCCUAGAAAUAAAACACCUGGUUCCCCGCGACAGCCCAGAGACACGGGGAUCAAGCAGCCUGUGGUUUCUAGAAGCUGGGCCAACCGUUCUAACCUGCUGCCCCUGAGAUGCCAAGACAGGAGAGGAGCUGGGGAGGGGGAGGGAAGGGGGGGGUCCGCUGCAAAACCAGUUUCACCUUGUGCCACAAAUCUAACCUUGUCUCAGAGCUGCGUUCCUGCCAAGGUCGAAUUUCAAUUUCUCUGUGGGAGUCUGAGUCUGGGUGGGGGUGGGGCUGGCAGGGGAGUGGGGGAGGGGCCGAGAUGCACAAAGACCCCUGUCCUCACACACAUUAACCCCGGGAAGCCACCAGAAAAACCUGGCCCCAUAGCAAAGUUCCCCUAGUGAAUAAAAACAGAUGCAAAGAAACGAGGAGGAAACAGAAGCAGAAAUCACGUCCUGCGUCAUUAUUCAUCCGGGGCUGGAAAAAGUCCUUCGGGCUCUUUGGUCCUUCACCUCUGCCCAAGCAAGGUGGGCAUUUCUAGCUGUCACGAAGGAGCAACCCAUAGCGUUUAGGUUCCAUGAAAGCCCAUCACUCCAGCACCGAUGGAGAGACGCCCUCCCCGCUGGCUGGAGGCUGCCCCCUGCCCCCGGGGCCGAGGAGUGGGAGGAGUCUGCGUAGCUUGGGCUGGAUGUGAGCUUCGAGAACUGACCUCACAAGGUGGGCCAGCCCUGGAGGAGGGGCCCGGGGCCCCCACUCUGGGAGAGCCCCCCCAGCACUGGCACAGGUUCCCCUGCUGCCUCCUACCAACUGCCACCCCAUCACCAUGACAACCUGCUUCCUCCCCACAGAAGCUGCCAUCAGUGCCCUAUCGCUGACCGCCUGGUUGCCACCUCUGGCUGCUGUCUCCUGCCUCUGGGCCACGGCAGGCUCUCAUUCUGUGCCCAGCACCUGGCACUUUGUAACACUGUGGGCCUCUAUCAGGGGUCUAUCUUCACGGCCUGCUCCCUGCCAGGCUGCAAGGCAGUGCCCCGCAGCAGGGGCCACGCUGCCAGGGACUGUACCCCUCCAUCGAGCAGCCCGGGACGUGUGCAGUGACGAGCCUCAGCUGUCCACCGCGGUCCACGCGGCAUCCUCAGAUGCCCGCAGACACCCCCGGCCUCUCCGUUCCAACAGGCACUCAUGCGAAACGGCAGGUGUUGGGGUGAAGCUGAAGUGGCAGAAAAGCUCGGGGCUCCGGGAGUCUCACCUUAGAGAGAUUAGGAGGCGCAAAGGGCUGUGUGGAGUUGGCGGAACAAGGAAGAAAGCCUAGGACUGAGUCACGGAGGCGUCCCACGGAAACGCAGACAAGGGGCUUCCAGCUCCCAGUUCCACUGGCAAAGUGGAGGCCGACCUCGCUGCAAACCAAGCUCGUGCCAAGAGGAGGAAGAGGGUACAGAGCGAGGGCAGAGCCUUCCACCAAGGCCUGGAGAGAAACACUCCCGGCAGGAGAAAGUCAGCGUCUGGGGAGGUGAGCGGUGUGUCACUUUCAAUUCAUGGAUCCUGCUGGGCAUCUGAUGAAAGGGUGGGU